CGGUGUCGUUUGGUUGUAGGUGAUACAUUUUCUCCUGACGAACAAUUGACCAAGCAAGAGUUUGGUUCUCUCUCGCUCGCUCUCUGCAACUCACAUGGAUUCCAAAGCUUCAACAACUGCCACUCCUCUACUGAACCAGGAAAAACCUAAUAAUCUUCCAUCAAAUCCCAAGAAGGAAAGAGACUUCCUGAACCACGUCGAAGCGUACCUCGCAAAGAGAGAUGGCGUGGACAAGCUCCUCAAGAUAUCCAGGUACGCCACCAAGAUCAUUCUCGCCUCAUCUGCUCUCCCCGAAACCCUAACCCUAACUCACCGCCUCAAGAGCUUCGAGUCGAGCGUAGGGGUGAGCCGCAAAGCCUUUAGGCUCGGCAAGUUCGUCCAGGACGUGAACGCUCUGAGAAACUCGAAUUUCGAUUUGAAUGAAGACCUCGUCCUCUCCCUUAUCGCCUACGGAGGCGAGGGCUUGUAUUUCUUCGUCGAGCAAUUCAUUUGGUUGGCCAAAUCUGGUUUGAUCGAUAGCAAACACUCGCGCAGUUUGCAAAAAAUCAGCGCUUGGGCCGAGUUCAUUGGGUACGUCGGUAGCAUUUCGUUGAAAUUUAGGGAUUUGAAUCGAAUUUCCGAAGAUGAAAAGUGCCUGAAAUCGAGCAUUGAGAUCGCAAUUACGAGGGGAAAUAAGUGCCAGGAAGAAAAGGAGAGAUUGAGUAAAUUGUGUGAAAAGAAAUUGAUGAAGAGGCUUUCUGUUGUUCAAGAUGCGGCCGACGCGUUAAUGGCAUUAGCUGAUAUUCGUGAUGGCGAUGGGCCGUUUUUGGGGCCGCUUUCGUUAUCAUUAGCCGGGAUGCUAUCGGCGAUAAUUAGCACUCACAAGAAUUGGGUGUCUUGCUGAGUUUCAUGUCCUUGUUACAAGUUGGGAUGGGAAUCGGACAAUGAAACUGGGACCCGCAAUCUCCAGUUCGCGGGCAUCAGCGGCUUACAUGCAAGCAACCUGCAAGCCAGCCCCGGUCCCCGGCACAACACAACACAACCUUGACCUUCUUCACGAGAUCAUAAAAGAGAGAGACAGAGAGACAGAGACACUCCUCUUUCCAGAUCUAAACACUCGUAAACGUCAUCGUUUCGAUGGCCCUUCACUAGAAACCUCCGAGACUCCCCA
Molecule: RNA transcript, 1150 nt
Organism: Prunus avium (sweet cherry)
Lineage: Eukaryota; Viridiplantae; Streptophyta; Magnoliopsida; Rosales; Rosaceae
Gene: PEX11A
Gene name: peroxin 11A
Source: RefSeq, a predicted model, not a curated record